Molecule: non-coding RNA, 222 nt
Organism: Vicia faba (fava bean)
Lineage: Eukaryota; Viridiplantae; Streptophyta; Magnoliopsida; Fabales; Fabaceae
Source: the annotation of a GenBank genome assembly
AUGCAGAUUGAAAGGAGGAACAUGAAGUCAGAGAGGAAAAAGAUUCAGAAAAAUGAGACAGGUUACAGAUUGAUUGCAGAAGGUGAUGUAGGAUUGAUGGCUGAACUGGUAAUGCAGGGCCAUUGUUUUUCUAGUAAUGCAGGGCCGGGAUUUCGUCGCAGGAAGAAGCCCGAGCACAUUCAGGCCCUCGAGCUUCCUUCCAUUGAAGCCAAGGCAUGCUGA